GCAGGUUCGGCUCCUCCCGAAUCGAGACGACGCGACACGAUCGUCGUCGUUGCUCGACUGGACGGCCGCCGCGCCGCGGUGUGUGUAUAUAAAUAGACGGUUUGCAAUCAACAAUUUUUAUUUCUAUUUAGACGAAACAUAUUGAGAAUGACGAUGACAUUCCAUAUACCUGUUAGAAAUGAGGUCUAGUUGUGGUGGUAACGGUGGUGGUAGGACUUUAACGACAGGACGGUUCAAUUGGGAUUGGUUGGCUGUCUAAAGCAGAAAAGCAGAAAAGCUGGCUCCUCGCCUAGGUGGAUAUUUCACGAUAGUUGAAGCGAAAAACGUUCGUUUUAAAGGAGAAAGGAUAAUAACGAGUGCGAGAGCCAUUUUCCAAGGGGGUUGUUGUUUGUAAGGAAUAUAUAUACAACUGAGAGAAUUGUUCGUGUAUACCAUCGCAAAAUCCGAGCGCUUUUGCUUUUCAUCGAAGAAAAGCUUUUUGUGAUAAAACUUGAAGGUAACGCAAAUUAUAGAGAGACUUAGAAAUGAA
Molecule: long non-coding RNA, 529 nt
Filed under: Polistes fuscatus (common paper wasp)
Lineage: Eukaryota; Metazoa; Arthropoda; Insecta; Hymenoptera; Vespidae
Description: uncharacterized LOC122525644
Source: RNAcentral